AAGGAUGCAAUCUCACCAAAAGUACCAACAGGAAAUGUAGAGCUGCCCUAUCCACACGGUCCAAGCUACUCAGGUCCAGUCCCUGAAAAUAGAAAUGGAAAUGUGGCCGAAAGGCCUAAACUCCACAUGCCUAAUAGGAAUCAUGAACAUUCCCUAAUAAAAAUAUAAGACAAGCCUUAAAGAGUUGUAAGAUAUUCGAUAACGAUUGAUAUAAGAAAGAAGCAUUUAGAAAAUAAAAUAAUCAGAUAAAAAAUCAUGUUGCAUUUUUUAUUUAUUGAGAGCACUAAACCAUCACCAGCACGAGGAAAAGUCAACUAGGUUUUGUACCUAGCGGCAAGUAUCAUAUACCUUACUUUCU
RNAcentral lists this long non-coding RNA (358 nucleotides) under Nicotiana benthamiana. RNAcentral's name for it is "long non-coding RNA (NBEN_LNC009519)". Lineage: Eukaryota; Viridiplantae; Streptophyta; Magnoliopsida; Solanales; Solanaceae. The record is from RNAcentral.